RNAcentral lists this ribosomal RNA (253 nucleotides) under uncultured prokaryote. Its description in RNAcentral is "partial 16S ribosomal RNA". It matches the Rfam family "Bacterial small subunit ribosomal RNA", at positions 523 to 775 of the family's 1533-position model. The record is from RNAcentral.
AUACGAAGGGUGCAAGCGUUACUCGGAAUUACUGGGCGUAAAGCGUGCGUAGGUGGUUGUUUAAGUCUGCUGUGAAAGCCCUGGGCUCAACCUGGGAAUUGCAGUGGAUACUGGGCGACUAGAGUGUGGUAGAGGAUAGUGGAAUUUCCGGUGUAGCAGUGAAAUGCGUAGAGAUCGGAAGGAACAUCUGUGGCGAAGGCGACUAUCUGGGCCAACACUGACACUGAGGCACGAAAGCGUGGGGAGCAAACAG